Molecule: ribosomal RNA, 151 nt
Filed under: uncultured bacterium
Lineage: Bacteria
Description: partial 16S ribosomal RNA
Rfam family: Bacterial small subunit ribosomal RNA
Source: RNAcentral
GAGGAAUAUUGGACAAUGGGGGCAACCCUGAUCCAGCCAUGCCGCGUGCGGGACUAAGGCCCUAUGGGUCGUAAACCGCUUUUGUUGGGGAGCAAUAAGGUCUACGCGUAGACUGAUGAGAGUACCCAGCGAAUAAGCAUCGGCUAACUCC